RNAcentral lists this ribosomal RNA (255 nucleotides) under uncultured bacterium. Its description in RNAcentral is "partial 16S ribosomal RNA". It matches the Rfam family "Bacterial small subunit ribosomal RNA", at positions 524 to 777 of the family's 1533-position model. The record is from RNAcentral.
UACGAAGGGGGCUAGCGUUGCUCGGAAUCACUGGGCGUAAAGGGCGCGUAGGCGGCGUUUUUAAGUCGGGGGUGAAAGCCUGUGGCUCAACUCCAGAACUGCCUUCGAUACUGGAGAGCUUGAGUCCGGGAGAGGUGAGUGGAACUGCGAGUGUAGAGGUGAAAUUCGUAGAUAUUCGCAAGAACACCAGUGGCGAAGGCGGCUCACUGGCCCGGUACUGACGCUGAGGUGCGAAAGCGUGGGGAGCAAACAGGG